CUAAAAGAUGACCUCCUGCAACUGUGGGGCAGAUACAGAAACAUUGUGACCUUAAGAAUUUAUUUCUAUCAAAUAUGAACUUCAUUUCCAUCGUUUCCCACUGUCCAGAGAUGUCAGAGAUCAGUUUAAUUGCAUAGACUGUCAAGACUCCCUGGGAAUUAUGUGCAGUUUUUUUCCUAUCUCUCUCAGACAGGAUCCAUCUUCACUUUGAAUAAUUACUGCCAGAGCUGAAUCAGAAACUGCCAAAGCUGCAGGAAAGAAUCCAACAUUUUUCUACACAGAUUCAAAGCAAAUAUGAAUUCCCUUCCCUUUCCUUUUUCCUUUCCCUUCCCUUCUACCACAACCCCUUUCACUUCAUUCCCUUUGAAUAACUUACCAUGAAUGAAUUUAGUGAGGGAAUGGUACACAAGAAAUCUUUGGGCAAAUCCUCAGCUGUUUCAAUUGGCUGCAGUAAAGCUACACUCUGUUACACCCUGAAGAUGCACCACAGUGGAUGUGAAUAGCUCUCUUGGAGAUUAUUCACCUCGUAUGAAUGCAACUGUUCCCAUCAGCUAUCUCAGCUUAAAGAUUGUGGUUAUUGAGUCAGGGGACAGAACAAUGGUAUGGGAUUGAGCCCAAGCAAUUAACUCUUCCCUCAACUUUAUUACUGAAUCCUGAACUGGCAUCCCACAGAGAACCUGUAACAAUCUUAUUCAGAUCAAAGCCCCCACUUUUUAAAUAAUGAGAAGUUUGGAAAACAAAAAUCAAAGGGCAGCCUAUGAUUCACACACAGAAAUUUUAUAAAAACCACAAAAUCAAAAGGCCCUUAAUUGAGGCCUUUCAACCCAACCAAGUAUUCAUUCCAAGAUAAUUACUGCCAUAAAACCCUCUGCCACAGAGACACUGGACUAGAAAACCUUUGAAUUGCACACGGAACUUAAGGAAAGAGCUGGCUGGGAUGUAAUCCUGCUGAGACCUGAAAAGGAGAAGUUCUGGGGGGGAACCAAGCCUUCAGUGCAAGUCAUUCCUCUGUAAAAACAUGUCAUCAUUGAGAAGGCUCUACAACAAGAAAAGACUGGGGAAGAUCUGCCAGGAGCAAACCAGGAUGCUCCUGUGCAAGUACAGAUGUGUGACUCCCAGCACAGCAGACUGGCCUCACCUUGAAAAAAGUCCUCAGGAGGUCAAAUGCACAUCAUUCUCCUGUGAUAUGUGACCAAAACUUACCAUUCAGCUGUACUUUAAGCCAUGCUUUACACUGGGAAACAACCUUCCCUGGUAAAUUGGAUUUCAAAACCCAGAAGAAUUUCUUUGAAAUUUUUUU
RNAcentral lists this long non-coding RNA (1300 nucleotides) under Gallus gallus (chicken). Lineage: Eukaryota; Metazoa; Chordata; Aves; Galliformes; Phasianidae. The record is from RNAcentral.